This 425-nucleotide ribosomal RNA is filed under the name uncultured bacterium. Its description in RNAcentral is "partial 16S ribosomal RNA". It matches the Rfam family "Bacterial small subunit ribosomal RNA", at positions 354 to 796 of the family's 1533-position model. The record is from RNAcentral.
GUGGGGAAUCUUGCGCAAUGGGCGAAAGCCUGACGCAGCCAUGCCGCGUGAAUGAUGAAGGUCUUAGGAUUGUAAAAUUCUUUCACCGGGGACGAUAAUGACGGUACCCGGAGAAGAAGCCCCGGCUAACUUCGUGCCAGCAGCCGCGGUAAUACGAAGGGGGCUAGCGUUGCUCGGAAUUACUGGGCGUAAAGGGCGCGUAGGCGGAUCGUUAAGUCAGGGGUGAAAUCCCAGAGCUCAACUCUGGAACUGCCCUUGAUACUGGCGAUCUUGAGUGUGAGAGAGGUAUGUGGAACUCCGAGUGUAGAGGUGAAAUUCGUAGAUAUUCGGAAGAACACCAGUGGCGAAGGCGACUCACUGGCCCAAUACUGACGCUGAGGCGCGAAAGCGUGGGGAGCAAACAGGAUUAGAUACCCCGGUAGUCC